CCCGAAGUAUCCUGAAUCUUUCGCAUUGUUAAUCAUACAAGUGCAUAUAAUAAACAUAGAAAAUCAAUGAUAAUCAUGCUAUUAUAUAAUUUUAAAAAAAUUAACGCACUGUAUUCAUAUAAAUCUAUCAACACUUUAUCAAAUUAAUGACAUUUAUUUUAUGUUAAAUUGCAAGCAAAAUAAUUUAAAUAAACUAUAAGUCAUAUUUUAUGAUAAAUUUGGUUUAUGUUAAUAGAUUACAAUGUCCUUAUAUGGAAAAAAUGCACACUAUUAUUAUAAUAUUAUUUAAAUAUUACAAUUUUAAUGAUGAAUUUUCCAUAACGGAUAUUCAGGUUCAUCGGGC
This 343-nucleotide ribosomal RNA is filed under the name Drosophila prosaltans. RNAcentral's name for it is "28S ribosomal RNA, D2 domain". Lineage: Eukaryota; Metazoa; Arthropoda; Insecta; Diptera; Drosophilidae. The record is from RNAcentral.